GAUGAACGCUAGCGGGAGGCUUAAUACAUGCAAGUCGAGGGGCAGCAUGGGACUUCGGUCCUGAUGGCGACCGGCGCACGGGUGAGUAACGCGUACACGACCUACCUUUAAGUGGGGGAUAGCCUUGGGAAACUGAGAUUAAUACCCCAUGUGAUUGUGUUUAAUAAAGGGACACAAUUAAAGCUCCGGCGCUUAAAGAUGGGUGUGCGUCCCAUUAGCUAGUUGGUGAGGUAACGGCUCACCAAGGCGACGAUGGGUAGGGGGCGUGAGAGCGUGACCCCCCACACGGGUACUGAGACACGGACCCGACUCCUACGGGAGGCAGCAGUAAGGAAUAUUGGACAAUGGGCGCAAGCCUGAUCCAGCCAUCCCGCGUGCAGGAUGACGGCCCUCUGGGUUGUAAACUGCUUUUGUCAGGGAAGAAACCCUUGGAUUUAUCCGAGGCUGACGGUACCUGAAGAAUAAGCACCGGCUAACUCCG
This 481-nucleotide ribosomal RNA is filed under the name uncultured Saprospiraceae bacterium. RNAcentral describes it as "bacterial SSU rRNA". It matches the Rfam family "Bacterial small subunit ribosomal RNA", at positions 28 to 505 of the family's 1533-position model. Lineage: Bacteria; Pseudomonadati; Bacteroidota; Saprospiria; Saprospirales; Saprospiraceae. The record is from RNAcentral.